AACGGAUCUCUUGGCUCUCGCAUCGAUGAAGAACGCAGCGAAAUGCGAUAAGUAAUGUGAAUUGCAGAAUUCAGUGAAUCAUCGAAUCUUUGAACGCA
RNAcentral lists this ribosomal RNA (98 nucleotides) under uncultured Thelephora. RNAcentral describes it as "5.8S ribosomal RNA". It matches the Rfam family "5.8S ribosomal RNA", at positions 11 to 108 of the family's 154-position model. From Rfam's summary of the family: 5.8S ribosomal RNA (5.8S rRNA) is a component of the large subunit of the eukaryotic ribosome. The record is from RNAcentral. Lineage: Eukaryota; Fungi; Basidiomycota; Agaricomycetes; Thelephorales; Thelephoraceae.